This 431-nucleotide long non-coding RNA is filed under the name Ananas comosus (pineapple). RNAcentral's name for it is "long non-coding RNA (ACOM_LNC029531)". Lineage: Eukaryota; Viridiplantae; Streptophyta; Magnoliopsida; Poales; Bromeliaceae. The record is from RNAcentral.
AAAAGAAUAAGAAGAGGUUUGAGAGAGGCUUAAAAAGGGCUUGGCGUUGGAACUGUUUGGGAAGAAGAGAAGUCAAGCGCCAACAUGUUUUUAUAUAUUCAUUGUGUUUGUUAUUCUCUUAUGUUUUAUAUUGUUACUCCUACGGGGGGAAAGGGUUUUGAUAAAAUCACAAGAUUUUUUGGGCAUCUGCUGCGAAUUUUCGUUGUUGAUGAACUCAAGAAAAUCUUCAUGUUACUUGCAAUUAGCCUCGAGUAAGACCUUCGAUAGUUUUAUUACACCAAAAGGCUACGACAGUACCACACGGUUGGUUCACCUGAUAUUGACAACGAACUCUUAUCCUCACAUUGAUAUGGAAAGCUUUAGGCUCAGACUAGCAGUCAAUAAAAGGGUUUUUUGAUAUGAUUUAUAAACAACUUCGACAUCAAAUACCU